GUUCCCGUUAAAAAGUAAUAUAUACAAAUGCAUGAGAAACGAUAUUCAAAUUCAAAACCAUUCACCUGACAGUUUCUGAAACUGACAAUCAAAACAUUAUGCAUUAAAAUUAAAUUACAUUUUUUUCUCUUCUUCCAGUGGGGCACCAAAGAAACAAUUAACAAGCAGGCACCUAGUAAUGUGAUAGACUUGCAGUAAAUAGGAAAAGAUACAGGAUGGUCCUAUUGGUGCAUUAGACCUCAUUAUGGAAUCAAUUACAAUUCUCCAACAUGCGCGCACAAUCUAUGGAAGUUCUUCACACCUGGCUCUGAAGGCAAAAUGUACAAGCAGCCUCAGCUCAUGCUUUUAAGAAAUCACCAAAAAGCAGCACUCAAUUAAUGGUGUUUACACAUUCUUGUGCUUCUUCAUUCAGGUACGGUCUUUUUUAGUGCAAAUUGCACACCACUUCAUUAUUCAUGGAUAAUCAACUAGGCCACAUUAUGCCAAGUAUCUAAACAAAUUAGGGUUAUCUUUGUCCCUUUCAAGAUAGUC
Molecule: unclassified non-coding RNA, 531 nt
Filed under: Hevea brasiliensis (rubber tree)
Lineage: Eukaryota; Viridiplantae; Streptophyta; Magnoliopsida; Malpighiales; Euphorbiaceae
Source: RNAcentral